This 195-nucleotide ribosomal RNA is filed under the name Phlebopus portentosus. Its description in RNAcentral is "5.8S ribosomal RNA". The stretch from base 2 to 156 matches the Rfam family "5.8S ribosomal RNA". From Rfam's summary of the family: 5.8S ribosomal RNA (5.8S rRNA) is a component of the large subunit of the eukaryotic ribosome. It is transcribed by RNA polymerase I as part of the 45S precursor that also contains 18S and 28S rRNA. Lineage: Eukaryota; Fungi; Basidiomycota; Agaricomycetes; Boletales; Boletinellaceae. The record is from RNAcentral.
CAACUUUCAGCAACGGAUCUCUUGGCUCUCGCAUCGAUGAAGAACGCAGCGAAUUGCGAUAAGUAAUGUGAAUUGCAGAUUUUCAGUGAAUCAUCGAAUCUUUGAACGCACCUUGCGCUCCUUGGUAUUCCGAGGAGCAUGCCUGUUUGAGUGUCAUCUAAUUCUCAACCAUGUCUUGAUGUACUUGGUACUUCG